Molecule: long non-coding RNA, 668 nt
Filed under: Malus domestica (apple)
Lineage: Eukaryota; Viridiplantae; Streptophyta; Magnoliopsida; Rosales; Rosaceae
Description: long non-coding RNA (MDOM_LNC010801)
Source: RNAcentral
UUUUAUAGAAAACUUCAUUUUAAUCCCUAAAUAAGAUUGCUUUUUCAAUAAUACCGUAUGUAAGAUUAAAAACUAAAAAUAGUCCUCCAUGUCAGAUUAUAGUAUUACAUGUCACAUUUAAUCAUUUUUUAAUAAAUUUAUUGCAUUUUUAGUUUCCCUAUUUACCCUUAUUCUUUAAAACCAAUUAGAGAAACAAAUAUAUAAUUAAUUUUUCAAGAAUGCUUAAUUAACUAGAUCCAUAAUUAACAUGUUUGUUAUAACAUAAAUCUCCAUGUGUUAUUCCAAUCAAAGAACCCAGAAAACUCAGAAACCAUGAUCAAACAAAAAAAGCCAUAAAACUUACAAACCAAAAAUCUUGUUGUAUUCGGAAGAAAGGAGAAAAAAGGGGCUUUUAGAUGCCAAAUUGAAGGUGAAUCCAAAGAUAAAUGAAAAAAAAAUACAAAUUGAGAAAAUAGAAUGUGAAAUCACAACUUAAUUGACCGUACCAAAUUAAUCGGACAUACACUAUAUAGUACCUAACCGACCAUCCCGAAUGGAUAAGACCUAAUUGAUAGUACCUAAAUGAUUAAGGUACAUUCAUAUAGGUACUAUGAUUUAGGUGCAUUCAUAUAGGUACCAUGAUUUAGGUGCAUUCAUAUAGGUACCAUGGUUUAGGUGCAUUCAUAUAA